AGUGAUUUAGCUCAGCGGCAUAAGCACCUGCCUUGCAAGCAGGUGGUCGUGAGUUCGAUCCCCGCUACCAAUA
Molecule: transfer RNA, 73 nt
Filed under: Cavia porcellus (domestic guinea pig)
Lineage: Eukaryota; Metazoa; Chordata; Mammalia; Rodentia; Caviidae
Rfam family: tRNA
About the family: Transfer RNA (tRNA) molecules are approximately 80 nucleotides in length. Their secondary structure includes four short double-helical elements and three loops (D, anti-codon, and T loops). Further hydrogen bonds mediate the characteristic L-shaped molecular structure. tRNAs have two regions of fundamental functional importance: the anti-codon, which is responsible for specific mRNA codon recognition, and the 3' end, to which the tRNAs corresponding amino acid is attached (by aminoacyl-tRNA synthetases). tRNAs cope with the degeneracy of the genetic code in two manners: having more than one tRNA (with a specific anti-codon) for a particular amino acid; and 'wobble' base-pairing, i.e. permitting non-standard base-pairing at the 3rd anti-codon position.
Source: Rfam by way of RNAcentral